AACUAACGCUAGCGGCGUGCCUAACACAUGCAAGUCGUACGAGAAAGUUGGCUUCGGCCGAUAAGUAAAGUGGCGCACGGGUGAGUAACGCGUGGAUAAUCUACCCUUUAGUUCGGAAUAACCCACCGAAAGGUGAGCUAAUACCGGAUAAAAUCCCGAUUUUUAUGGAGAUGGGGAUCAAAGAUGGCCUCUGCUUGCAAGCUUUCACUGAAGGAUGAGUCCGCGUACCAUUAGCUAGUUGGUAGGGUAAUGGCCUACCAAGGCGACGAUGGUUAGCUGGUCUGAGAGGAUGAUCAGCCACACUGGAACUGAGACACGGUCCAGACUCCUACGGGAGGCUG
RNAcentral lists this ribosomal RNA (341 nucleotides) under uncultured Pseudomonadota bacterium. Its description in RNAcentral is "bacterial SSU rRNA". It matches the Rfam family "Bacterial small subunit ribosomal RNA", at positions 29 to 351 of the family's 1533-position model. Lineage: Bacteria; Pseudomonadati; Pseudomonadota. The record is from RNAcentral.